This 439-nucleotide ribosomal RNA is filed under the name uncultured bacterium. Its description in RNAcentral is "partial 16S ribosomal RNA". It matches the Rfam family "Bacterial small subunit ribosomal RNA", at positions 338 to 795 of the family's 1533-position model. The record is from RNAcentral.
CCUACGGGUGGCAGCAGUGGGGAAUAUUGCACAAUGGGCGAAAGCCUGAUGCAGCAACGCCGCGUGAGCGAUGAAGGCCUUCUGGUCGUAAAGCUCUUUCCUCAAGGAAGAUAAUUACGGUACUUGUGGAUUAAUCCCCGUCUAACUACGUUCCAGCCGCCGCGGUCAUACGUAGGGGGCUAGCGUUAUCCGGAAUUACUGGGCGUAAAGGGUGCGUAGGUGGUUUCUUAAGUCAGAGGUGAAAGGCUACGGCUCAGCCGUAGUAAGCCUUUGAAACUGGGGAACUUGAGUGCAGGAGAGGAGAGUGGAAUUCGUAGUGUAGCGGUGAAAUGCGUAGAUAUGAGGAGGAACACCAGUUGCGAAGGCGGCUCUCUGGACUGUAACUGACACUGAGGCACGAAAGCGUGGGGAGCAAACAGGAUUAGAUACCCGAGUAGUC